Long non-coding RNA from Rhinichthys klamathensis goyatoka, 287 nucleotides. RefSeq lists it as uncharacterized. The record is from RefSeq and is a predicted model, not a curated record. The transcript is spliced from 2 exons. Lineage: Eukaryota; Metazoa; Chordata; Actinopteri; Cypriniformes; Leuciscidae.
UGAAGCGCUGGUUUCAUGUCACUGGUGUCUCACUGUGUUUGUGCGAUCGACCCGGAGCAUCUGAAUCCGCCUCAAGGAUUUAAAGGGCAAAAACUCUCCGGUUGCGCUCAUCCCAUUUUGCAGCCGCAGACGGUGCUAUGACGCUGGAGGCCUUCCACAAUGUUUUUGCAUGACCUGCUUUGGUAAAGUGUCUUCCUGUAAGCCAAGAGCUCUCUUUAAAUGUCAGAGUUCAAAACACUGUUAUUUUGUAAUGUGGGGUUUGGAAAUAAACGACAAAAAAGAAACGA